GAGAGUUAAACAGUACGUGAAAUUGUUGAAAGGGAAACGAUUGAAGUCAGUCAUACCAACGGGAAAUCAACCUUUUGAGCUUGGUCUCGUGGGUUUUGAAGAGUUUCAAAGCCUUCGGAUUCGCGAGAUUGGGAUCUCUCGGUGUACUUUUUCGUACGGUUAGUCAACAUCGGUUUUGAAUGUCAUAAAAUGACUGGAGGAAUGUAGCUUCGAUCUCGUAUUGAAGUGUUAUAGCCUUUGGUAGAUGUGAUGUUUGAGACCGAGGAUUGCAACGGAUACCCUUCAGGGCUAUUCGUCUGAUCUCUGAUACGUUGCCUUGAUGUUGAAAGCUUGCUUAUGAUGUUAGGGUAUUACGGUCAAAAGGUUAGAACGAAUUACAUUCGUUAAGGAUGUUGACGUAAUGACUUUAAACGA
This 414-nucleotide ribosomal RNA is filed under the name uncultured Funneliformis. RNAcentral describes it as "partial 28S ribosomal RNA". The record is from RNAcentral. Lineage: Eukaryota; Fungi; Glomeromycota; Glomeromycetes; Glomerales; Glomeraceae.